This 459-nucleotide ribosomal RNA is filed under the name uncultured bacterium. RNAcentral's name for it is "partial 16S ribosomal RNA". It matches the Rfam family "Bacterial small subunit ribosomal RNA", at positions 338 to 795 of the family's 1533-position model. The record is from RNAcentral.
CCUACGGGAGGCAGCAGUGAGGAAUAUUGGUCAAUGGGCGAGAGCCUGAAGCAGCCAAGUCGCGUGAGGGAAGACGGUCCUAUGGAUUGUAAACCUCUUUUGCCGGGGAGCAAAAAGCGGUACGUGUACCGCAUCGAGAGUACCCGGAGAAAAAGCAUCGGCUAACUCCGUGCCAGCAGCCGCGGUAAUACGGAGGAUGCGAGCGUUAUCCGGAUUUAUUGGGUUUAAAGGGUGCGCAGGUGGCGAGUUAAGUCAGCGGUAAAAUUUCGGGGCUCAACCCCGACAAGCCGUUGAAACUGGCGUGCUAGAGUGGGCGAGAAGUAUGCGGAAUGCGUGGUGUAGCGGUGAAAUGCAUAGAUAUCACGCAGAACUCCGAUUGCGAAGGCAGCAUACCGGCGCCCAACUGACGCUCAGGCACGAAAGCGUGGGUAUCGAACAGGAUUAGAUACCCCUGUAGUC